UACAGAGGUCCCAAGCGUUGUUCGGAUUCACUGGGCGUAAAGGGUGCGUAGGCGGUUGGGUAAGUCUGAUGUGAAAUCUCACAGCUUAACUGUGAAACUGCAUUGGAUACUAUCCGGCUAGAGGAAUGGCGGGGAGACUGGAAUACUUGGUGUAGCAGUGAAAUGCGUAGAUAUCAAGUGGAACACCAGUGGCGAAGGCGAGUCUCUGGACAUUUCCUGACGCUGAGGCACGAAAGCCAGGGGAGCAAACGGG
Molecule: ribosomal RNA, 253 nt
Filed under: uncultured bacterium
Lineage: Bacteria
Description: partial 16S ribosomal RNA
Rfam family: Bacterial small subunit ribosomal RNA
Source: RNAcentral